Molecule: small nuclear RNA, 112 nt
Organism: Bombina bombina (fire-bellied toad)
Lineage: Eukaryota; Metazoa; Chordata; Amphibia; Anura; Bombinatoridae
Product: U5 spliceosomal RNA
Exons: 1
Source: RefSeq, a predicted model, not a curated record
AUACUCCAGUUUCUCUUCAAACGUAAUAAAACUUUCGCAUUUUACUAAAGAUUUCCAUAGAAAGAUCUAGCUUGAGUAAACAAUUCUUUUUGAGGUUCUACAUUCAGAGCUU